AAAAGUCCCUGGUUAGAACGGUUGUCAUUCAUUCAUUGGAGAGUCCUAGCUUUGAAAGCUUCCUCUAUUGAGCCAAGAUUUUCCUUUAAGUCUGCAACCAUGAGCUGCUGUCGCUGUUGUGGAGGUCGCGGCUGCGGAUGCUGCAACAGAUACAGGCCAAGAACGGUUUACUAUGUAGGAAGGCCCGCAACUGGUGGGUGCUGUUGUGGGUCUCGUGGCCGUUGCUGCGGCCGUUGCUGUGGCCGUCCACGGUGCUGCUGUACUCCAUCUUACCCAUAUUAUCGAAUUCCAGUCCAGACCUAUGGCACCCAAGUGAAGAAAUGCUAAAGGAACAUUGACAGCGUUCACAAGACCUGCAAGUUAGAGUUACCAGAUUCAGACUGCAGAAGCUGCAACGACCACUAAAGGGCAGCGAAGAGCAGAUGCUUUCCGUAUCACCCCACUGCCCUCUCGUGAUCAUUUGAAAUAUUGCAAUCCAGAUACGACAACUAAAUGCAGUCUUCCCUUUUGACAGCUAGAGGGAUGUGAGAAUGUUACUUGUUCCUCUUGCAAGACUUGCUGGAUUAUCUCUGACUCAUCUUGCCAAGUUGAUGAACAGAAGCCUUGACACAAAUGUAUUACCCAACACUCUUUGAUCUUCUCUUGACUUUAUUCCUGAAACGAUUAGAAUCGUUUCCUCGUAACCGAAGGGCAAAUGGCACCGUUUUUCUUUUCUUUUUUUCUUAUGACUAUCGGGUGAUUUUUGUUCGGGGUCUGGAUCUUCCCUACCAACUGGUUCUAUAGCCAUUUAGCUUUUCCAAAAACAAUAGUUUUGGGUGACGGUUUGCAUUUUCUUUGGCAAAGCCCUGUCGGCAUUUUCCAAUCCUUGUAAUCCUUGCAUAAACUUAUGGUUUCAAUAAAAUUCUGAAUUCUAAAAGUU
Pantherophis guttatus is the source of this 919-nucleotide long non-coding RNA. RefSeq lists it as uncharacterized. Lineage: Eukaryota; Metazoa; Chordata; Lepidosauria; Squamata; Colubridae. The record is from RefSeq and is a predicted model, not a curated record.